RNAcentral lists this long non-coding RNA (4259 nucleotides) under Sus scrofa (pig). Its description in RNAcentral is "lncRNA (ENSSSCG00035079577.1)". Lineage: Eukaryota; Metazoa; Chordata; Mammalia; Artiodactyla; Suidae. The record is from RNAcentral.
AAACUAUCUUUGUUAGUUUCAUAUGAAUAAAAUUUUUCCUAAGCAUUUUCCUUUUGAUAUUUUGGGUUUUGUAGUUUUUUCGGCUUUUGCAAUAUUGAAGUCAGCUUUUGUAAAUCUACUAUUUUUAAAGAUGUGCAUUGAUACCAUUAUUAUGUAAAUGCAAGUUUGAAGAUAUGUAAUGUCAUAAUUUCAAUAAUAUCACUAUAUUUUUAAACUAUUGAGGCUUUUUAGCUUUUUCCUAUAUCUAUCUUCAUAAUAGAACUGUUUGGUAAUAUGAUGCAUUUUUUGUGUAUCUUUAUAGAACAAGUCUUAUUGUUCUUAGAAUAUUUUAUUAAAAGUACUCAAAUGGAUUCCAGAACAAAAGGAGCACCAUCUAUUUUUUACCAUGUUACCAUAUGUUAGGUAUUGCACUAAACACUUUAAAUCUAUUAGCACAUUUAUUGCUCAUAUUAGCUCUAUCAGGGAGGUAUUAUCGUCCCAUUUCAUAGACAUGUAAACUGAGACUCAGUGGAUUGGACUGAGGAAUUAGUUCCAUUUAAUUCCAAAGCAGAAAUAUUGUGUGCGACAUGCACAGAGAUAUCAAGGAAUGCACAGGUAACUUUCUCUGAAUGUUCACUAACUAUACUUGAUUGGGAUGUAAAGAUCAACAGAAAGGAACAUCUUUGCCAUUCGCAUCAGUAGUGAAAGCUUUUUUUUAAUUGUGUUGCUCAGAGGCUAAAGUGUAACUCAUCUAGGGCCCUGAUUUUAAGCAACCAAUAAUGAGAGGCUGUUGAAGGGAUAAUUUCCUGCCUGAAAUGGCCAGUCCUUGGAUGAUCUAGGGGGUGGGGUUUGGGGAAAUUCCUUAAGGAACUCUUAGACUCUAAUUGGGGAACCUAAGCCAGGUGAGGUGACCACCAGAGGAUUCAUUUGUUCACUCGGUGUCAAUAGAUAAGUGUUGAUGAGCUGCUAUUUUUUAGACAACUUGUUAGGUAGUACCUGUUAUUCUGAGAGCCAUUGUUGAGGGUGGGGAGGGAACUGAAGCAAACAGUGAGUAAGAAAGAAGUCACCACACUCCAGGGUCAGUAAUCAGAAUCCUACUGCGUAGAAAAGGUAGAUCCUGGCUGAUGCCUUGAAUGGUGGUAAAUUAUAUAUUUUGCUUUUAGUGAUCCUUAGUUUGGGGUAACCUGGCACAGCCAAGCUACAUUCAUGGUAUUAAGUGAAAACAAUGAGGUGUGCCCUAAGAGAAACAUGAAGGUUGCUAGAUUGAGAUUGUUUUCAAGUGCCAGAAGCGAUCCUGGCAGUGCUUCCCCUCUUCUGUUUUUUCCAUGAACCAACAUUUGUAAUAGCCCUCAAAGUUCAGCCAGCCACCCUGCCAUACCAUCUUUACUUUUAUACAUCUGGCUACCUUAGUCAUGACACCUUUGCUUAUCCUGCCACUUUUUUCCUCUUCUUUCCUCCCUUCCCCCUUUCCUUCUCUCCCUCCUCUCUUUCUUUCUUAAAAAAAAAAAAAGUUUCUCUAGCCCCUAGCCACCUAUAUUCCAACUUCAUCCUUUUGCUGUGGCUGUGACUUGCUUCUAGCAUUCUGUGACUUCCCCAAAGAAAUCUAGACAUUGAGUCAGGGAGAAAACACAGAGAUCAGGAGUUUGCAGAAUGUAUUCACUGAAGAGCAGAAAGUAUAAUGGAGCUGUAGGUGUGGCAGCAGCAGCAGCAGCAAGGAUAGAUGUCUGUGACCUUCCAAGAGGUAAGACAAGGCAUUUCUCAGUGGCUGCCAGCACUGAGUGACAAAUCCAGAAGAAGGAGGUGUUUACCCCCAAAACCAGGAUGCCAUGUAGAAAAAGGAGGAGGAACAUUCUGUAUCAAACACAAGAACCUGGAGGUGACUGGGUUAACCUGUGUUUACCUCUAUUAAGCUUGCUGUUCUCAGGCAGAAUGGAAUCUCACAAAAGAGAAUAUGUCUAGUUAAUAGAAAUUAUUUUUCCAAUUCUCAACUUUAGUUCCCCCGAGUAUGGACUUUUGAUAUGCUUGGCCUUUCAUUCUGCUUACACAGCCCUCUUUUCCCUUUCCUUGUUGGGUUUCUUGGCUUAUGACUUCUCCCAUUACCUCUGCUCCUGUCCUCCUCCUCACUUAUGCAAGGCCUGCACAUUUAUACAUGCAAAUUCUUGGGAGCACGUUUCUUUUAAGAAUCUCUCUGCCUCUUCGUCUGUCUUAAUGUAUCAGACAUCUUUCCCUAGGAGCCAAUUAGCUGGUCCCUUAGAUUCUAUGAUUUUGAUCUGUGACACUGACUUACUGACCUUGCCCUAAAUAUUCCUAAUAGUAACCUUCAAUGAAAUCUGAAUCACAUGGUGGAAUGUGAGGGCAUGCUAUGUGUAUAAUGUACAAUACAGUCAUUUUUUGAAUAAAUAACAGAAUAAUGAUAGUUAUCUAAUACGCAUAUAUAGUAUUUACCUUUAAAAAUAACGUUUUCACACACAUCUCAUUUUAACCUUGAAUUAUGAAGAUAAACAGUGUUAGUUAGUUUUCCCUAAAAUAGAACAUACAGAAGAAAACAUAGCAAUAAGCUGUACAGAUAAUAGACAAUAAGUAUAUGUUGAUUGAACAUGGGAAAAUGUGUAUGAAAAAUGUAACAAACACAUAAUCCUAUCUAAUUAUAAAAUAGAAACUGUGCCUUAUUUCCUUUGUGUUUUUCAUUCUGUGAUUACCAUUACUUAGAUACCACUUUUUUAUUUUUGGAAGCAUAAGCAAUGCACACUACCCUACGUCUGUUGAAACAUACAUGUUUUCAGAAAAAUCUAGAUGAACUCAAUGUAAUUCCUGGUUUUCUAACUCUAGAGUAAGAUUGCCCAUGUAUGAAAGCCAUCUUCAUUGUUUACCAGCUCUUUGACUCUAGGAAAGCUGCUUCCGCUCUCCAUGCCUCGGUUUCUUAAUCUGAAAAAUGAUGAUAAAGUAUAUUAUUUAUAGUAUUGUGAAGAUUAAACAGGUAACAUGAAACCCCUAGUAAGCAUAUAAUUUGAGGUUUUUAUGAUUAUUCUUCUUACAGAUAUUUACAAUUUUACAAAUGUCCUUUAUUUCCAAUCUGUAAAUAUGGCUAAAAUAUGAUGCUAUUUUGGGACAGGUCAAAGUUAUCUAUGGCGCACUAGUUAAUGUUGACAUGUAAUAUAUUUCAAUGUAAUCAUUUUCAAAAAAGUCGGAGUAGUGUUUUCUGAAUUUUGAUGUAACUAGAAGAAUAAAAACAGCAGGAAAUGAAGAAUGAAUUUAGUUUCUUACACAAAUAAUUGACUUAAUGAAAGGGGAAAUUUAAGAUCCUUAGUUUUGUAAUCACGUGUUUAUUUCUGAGUUUACUGAUAUCAUGGCUUCCACACUUUGAGAAUUCUCUGUGGUAUUAAUAACCAAAUAUUUCUAGCUCUCAUCUCUUUUGAAUAUGUGUGAGGGUUGUAUUUGCUGGCCUUGGAAGGUAAGCCUGGCGUGUGACACAUUUUGAUCAAUGAAAUGUGAGGAGUGACAAUUGCCUCCCUUUUUUACUUGCACUGCUUUGAUUGUGGAAGCACUGGUCAAGGGGAACUUUCCACCAUCCUGAGUCUCAGCGUGACUAUGAUGAGAGCGCCCCCUGCUGCCCUUCAUUGGAUAGGAAGCAAAAGCGAAACAAACCCUUGUGUUAGACUAUGACACUCUGGGGUUGUGAGUAACUAAACUGGACUAGAUCAUCCUGACUGUCACAAUAUUUACUUAGAAUUUGAAUUGUUGUUUACAUUUAUUUUUACUUUUAAAAUUAUAAAAAAAAUAAUGUAUUAGAACACUUUUCAUUAGAUACACAAUUUGCCUGAAUUUUCAAUUUAAAAGAACUUGACAAUUUAAUCUGAUUUAAUUUUUUAAUUUCUCAAACUAUAGUUAGUACUUCUCAGGCAGUAGUUUGUCUAUGGCAUGUCUCCAGUGCAGUACAGUAAGCUUUAAACAGAGCAGCCAUGUUCAGGGGAGGUGAAUUGGUCAUUUAAUAAGAUUCUUUGGUACUUAGCUAAUGACUUGUGAGUAUGAAGCAAAACAAUUAAAAUAUAAAUUGAUGAAAUUCAGGAACAUUUGUCAAGUGUCAAGCAUGUAUAAAGAACUGUGAUAAAUCUUUAAGGGAAAAAUAAAUGAAAACUCUUGAAAUGAAAUAUUCAUAUGAUUUUCUAACUUAGUGAUGCUGCUUUACAAGAUUUCCAAUAGAAACUAUCACUAAUGAAUUGUGAAACAGUUUGAAAAGGGCUUUCUGUGAAUCAGCCUGUCUUUGGUUUGGGUAUUUAUUG